This 207-nucleotide ribosomal RNA is filed under the name uncultured bacterium. RNAcentral's name for it is "partial 16S ribosomal RNA". It matches the Rfam family "Bacterial small subunit ribosomal RNA", at positions 568 to 774 of the family's 1533-position model. The record is from RNAcentral.
CACGUAGGCGGCUAUUCAAGUCGGGGGUGAAAGCCCGGGGCUCAACCCCGGAACUGCCCUCGAAACUAGAUAGCUAGAAUCUUGGAGAGGCGAGUGGAAUUCCGAGUGUAGAGGUGAAAUUCGUAGAUAUUCGGAAGAACACCAGUGGCGAAGGCGACUCGCUGGACAAGUAUUGACGCUGAGGUGCGAAAGCGUGGGGAGCAAACA